Molecule: non-coding RNA, 3746 nt
Organism: Lolium perenne
Lineage: Eukaryota; Viridiplantae; Streptophyta; Magnoliopsida; Poales; Poaceae
Source: RefSeq, a predicted model, not a curated record
GGCUGGACCCGACGCAUCUCUCCUCCAUCCCCUCCACGCCGCCCCUCGCCCGCGCCGGCGCCGGCGUCUGUGCUGCCCCUCGCCCGCCGGCGCACCUACGAAUCCUCCGUCGCUGUUUCCCUUGCCCACGCCGGAUCCCCGCGCCCGGCACCUCCAAUCGCGCCGCCGUUCUGGCUUCCCGGCCGGCCUCGAGGUCGAGGACGACGGGGCGUGGUUUCGCGCAGCUUAGUGAAGCUCCAAGGUACCCUUCCCCGGCGCCGCACAGAAAUGGAGGCCACCAUCCAAAGCUUCCCCUAGCGGUUCGCCUACCGGCCGGCCUCGCGCGGUGCCGGAUGAUGCACCAGUCGAGAGCGGUUGCACGCCAGCCACCAGGACGCGACGGCGUCCACGGAAGGGAGACGCGUCCCGUGGUCAGCCCCGCGGAGCUCGAGGUCGCCCCGACCAUCAGAAAUAGGCAGAGGAGGAGAUGCGUCCUUCACCGCCGCCCUCCUUCCCCAGGCCGUCCACCAUGAGGCCAGUCCGCUGCGGCAGCAAGCCCAUUCUGCCCAUGCUGCUCGCCGGGAACAUCGCCACAGCCGGUGAGCCAUCUCUCAUCCCUAGACGUUAACAAUCUUGCAGGAUGGUGCCCGAGCUUAAAAAAAACAACUUGCUCAACUUUUAUUGAGUAGUACGAUUGGAUCCCAAGAGCUCCCAAGAGCGGUAAGGUUGUAGUUUUCGGUGUGUUUUGUGAUGUGAUAUUGUUCUGUCUUCUCCAUUAUAUGAUGCUGAAGAACAAAAUAAUAUUGCCAAUACUUACUCUAUCAGCAGUAUGAUUCGUUGUAUCUUGCAUCAACUUAGAAAAAAAUGUAAAAGAAGGCAGAAGUUUCACUUAUCACAUUGUAUACAUUAUCCGUUUAGUCUUAGAUUCAUGCAUCUUGUGAACGACAUUCUUGUUGGAUUUAAUUUAGGAAAGUUUCCUUUGAAUUGAACUACAUGUAAAGAAGAUAGUGAACUUUGCUUCGGCUAUGCAUACUGAAUAUAACAAAUUGCUAGCAUUUAUCAUUUACCGGAGAUUCCAAGCACUAUAUGUUAGUGAGAACCUUGUACCAUCUGAUUGGGAGUUUGAAGAGCUUGCUGGUCACACAUAUCUCUUUAAAAAAGAACAACUUGAGAGCCUUGUCAUUCCUUCGUCCAGCACACUUCAUGGCACCAUCAUUGGAAUGCCAUUAAUCUUGGAGGAACCAACUUCAGAGCCUUGAAAGUUAAAAUUCAAGUCAUCCCUGACGAAUUGAUGGGUACAGGAUUUAUUCAACUUUGUUGCCUUGACACUAAAGAAUUUUGUUCAAAAAGAAGAUGAACAAAAGGCGCCUGGUUUUACAUUUACUUUCCCCGUUAGAUAGAAUUCAGUUUCUUCAGGUUCAUUGACUAAGGUUGGAUACACGAGGAGAUUCCAAGCACUAUAUGUCAGCGAGAACCUUGUACCAUCUGGUGGGGAGAUUGCGAGCUUGUUGGUCAUUCCUCCAUCCAAACAUACUUCAUAUGCCACCAUCAUUGGGAUGAAGAAUGAUGCUAUUGAUCUUGGAGGACCCUAUCUGAAGUCUAGAAGGUUCAGGUUGGUGUGGCGUCCUUCACUGCCACCAAGUUCACGCUGGCUGUGAAAGCCUGAAAGGACACCCUCCUUCCCGGUGUCAUCCACCAUGAGGCCACGCAGAAGCAGGCCUGUGCAGCUCCUCGGCUCUGCCCCCCCCCCCAUAAUGGAGUUCCAUUGAUCUUGGAGGAACCAACUUCAGAGCCUUGAAGGGAGCUGUAGAAAAUUUGCUAGAGAGAAGUGCAUAUAUGCAGUUUCUCGAUGGAUCUGUCAUGCUCUUGGAUGAGGGUGCCAAGGCACUCCUAUUGUCAACACUUAGUGAAAUGUCUGCCAGUGCAUUGCGCUGUUUGGGCUUUGCAUAUAAGGAGGAUUUGGCACAAUUCGCAACAUAUGAUGGGGAAGUGCAUGCUACUCAUAAGUAUCUGUUUGAUCCUUCAUGCUACUACUCCAUAGAGAGUGAUCUGAUAUUCUGUGGUUUUGUUGGUCUAAGACACUACUAUCCACAGGAUCCUCCACGAGAAGUAGUCCACCAAGCAAUUGAAGGUUGCAAAGCUCCUGAGAUACGUGUUAUGGUGAUAGCAGAGAAACAGCACACUCAAUAUGCCGUGAGAUUGGGGUUUUAGCCCCUGUGAAAACAUUAGAUCAAGGAGCUUCACAUGGAAGGAAGUCAUGGCUCUUCGCGAUGGGAAGAAGCUGUUGAGGCAAACAGGUGGCCUUCUCUUCUCCAGGGCAGAGCCAAAAACAUAAGCAGGAAAUCAUUAGGUUGCUCAAAUAAGAUGGUGAAGUUGUUGCAAUGUCUGGUGAUGGUGUGAAUGAUGCACCAACUCUGAAAUUAGUUGAUAUUGGAUUUGCGAUGGGCAUGACAAAGACCAAGGUUACAAAAGAAGCUUCAGGUAUGGUGCUUGCAGAUGAUAACUUCGGUACAAUAGUCAUUAACCUGCAUCUGCCUUUUAUAAGGUGCAGGACGGGACAGAAGGGCUCGAGGGCUUCUGCUUCAGUGCUUGAUUGCCACUGAUGGGAGCGGUGUCCUCAGCAAUGACAUCCUGCAGCAGCUCUUGCAGAGCAUCACCAGCAGAGCUAGGAGCUGCAGCAGGCCGAGAUCGACCUCCGCGCAAGGUAAAGAUAUUAAUUUGCCAAAGUUGUCGUGAUGGAGAUUAAUGGUCAUCACAAACCUAGAAGAGGGCAGCAAUGCAAUGGUGUAAACCACUCAAUAAUUUCAGGGAAGUUGUUCCAUGGACGUUAUGGACGUACAAACCAUGAACCAUUUCAUUGUUACUGAUGGGAACCUGCCUUUUAAUUGAGCUGGGCUUAUGAGAAAUGCUUCUAGAACUUGAACUACAUGUAGCAAUGAGAAGUGAGAUGUGCUCCCCCGGCAUGACCGUUGAAACUGUGAUGCAUCUAGCUGGUUCAGCAAUGUCAAGUCAAAGGGAAGAUCAAAUGGCACGUGAGAGUAUCUUCUUUUGUUUGAACUGGUCUGGCUUUUAUUGUAGAUCUUUUUAAAAGUGGGGUACAUGAGGGUUCAGAGAUGGGCUAAUUACGUAGAGAUUACGUACUUGAGAUGGUUAUCAUGAUCCAGUUUUCAUGGACAAAUACAUGCUGUGGUAAGCCGCGUGUUAGUUAUAGUUGUAUGCAUCUAAAGAUUUUGUGUCUUUGUAUUUACUGGUCAACGCUAUAGGAUUAUAUGUCUUACAUGUCCACUGUUUUGCAUAGUUAAAUUCUGUACAUAGAUACUCUCGGAAAAAACUUCUGCACAUAGGUGCCAUAAGUUUUUGUAUCAUUCAUAUUUAGUUGGCACCAUCAAAAAAUGAUAAUGUGUCUGGACGUAUUUUGCAGAUGAUACAACCAGUAGCUAUAUCUUAGUGGUCUUUCUUUUCAUCUUACCAUAGUGAUCUGGUUCCUCUUUGCUCGAGGUGUCAUGGCUUGCUUGGUAUUACUCUGAUAUACUCUCUCCGUUCUCUUUUAGUCUACAUUCUAGGAAAAAUCAGACAAAUUAGUAGUGCAUUUAUUAGUACUGCUUAAAUUGGUAAACAACCAAUCCAAGCUACAUUGAAAAUAGUGACAUCCAAUAGAUAAAGGAGGACCACUUCGUUUUUCCGUAUUCUUGUUGACUAAAAGCUAGAAUGUAGAGUAUUUCAGAACAAAUUUUAGGCCUAGAAUGCAGAGUAUUUCAGAACGGAGG